Molecule: long non-coding RNA, 1912 nt
Organism: Malus domestica (apple)
Lineage: Eukaryota; Viridiplantae; Streptophyta; Magnoliopsida; Rosales; Rosaceae
Source: RefSeq, a predicted model, not a curated record
CAAGUCUAAAAAAGUUCAAAGUAACACAGUCAAAGGAGUUUUCCUUAGCCUAGUCUGUUUUGAACCGUUAGCAGUCUGUAAACUAUAUUUAGAGCCAGAUUUUGUACUAAUAAGGUCCCCCGUUUGGUGUAAUUUUGUUGGCAUACUUUUUUUUGCCAUUAUUUUCAUACUUUUUUGUCAGCUUAAUUGAUAUUUCACAACUGACUGUUGAGAAAGAGGUUCUUUUAAUAAUUGUAUAGAUAAUACUAUUGACCAUGACAGUUAAGACAGUUAAGAGGUUGCUGAUGUGGCAAUUAUGUGGCAAUUAGUUAGAACUGUCAUGGCAAUUAGUUAGAGUUGUUAAACUACUUUCUUAGAGUGUAAGAAAGGCUCUGGGGCUCUAUAUAAAGUGUGUAAGGAUUCAUUGUAAUCAUCUUGAGGAAUAUACAAUCUUUCAUAAGCUUUCUUUCUCUUCUCAGCUCAUAUCUCUCUCUUUCUCUCUCUUCUCAGUGUUUUUGUGCAAGAAUUGCUGCUACUUCAGGUUCUUGAUCUUCAAUUCUUACAAGUGCACACAAUCUGUUUGAUUAAAUGCAUAAGUAUGAAAAUGGGUAUUAAUCUGUCAAGAAAUGAGGUCAAUGCCAUCUUUGAUAUAGUUUGUGAGGGAUUUUAAGGACGAUAUCCAUUCCUUCUUCGAAAAUAUUUGAUGAUAUACUUAGAAAGGCUGAUAGCCAUUGAGUGAUUUGUUCUCAUUGUCAGUAAGGCUAAUAGCAAUUCAGUGAUUGAUCUGUUUCUUGGAUCUAAGUAGUUUGCUCAUUUCAGUCACUAAUUUCUUGAUCGAAUUUUGUACCUAGGUUAUUAAUAUUAUGGCAGGCUCUUCUAUUAAGAUUGAGGGUUUACUAGGGAUUCCUACAGUGAAGUUACAUGAUGAGAAUUUUGUAAAAGGUGCUUAAGGGUUACGCUUUGUUUGACUUUUUCACUGGCGAUUCAUCAUGUCCUCUUAAGUUUAUCAUCAAUACAGACACUGGUGUCAUGAAAGAAAUUACAGUGUCAUAUAAAGAUAGGGUAAAGAAAGAUUUGGCAACAAAAAUUACAAGUCUAGAAUUUCACCAAAAUGUCAGAUUUGCUCAAGGAGAGGGCACACUGCACCCAAUUGUUAUUACAGAAUUGAUAAUGGUCCUACAGUAGGCUUUGUUGUUUGUCAGAUUUGUUAGAAAAUGGGACACAUAGCACUUGAGUGUUAUCAUAGGAACACUUCUCAUAUCAAGGUAAUCAAUCCAUCACACAUCUCUCUCACUGCAAUGACUGCACAAGCUCAUAUUAGUCCAUAGAAUGUUCCAGUUCAUAAUGAUAAUGAAUUCUCAAAUAGUGAAGCACGGAUUAUGGACACAUGGGCCACACAUCAUAUGGCAGCCAAUGUUAAUGCUUUAUCCAAUGUUAAUCCUUACAAUGGAGAUGAGAAGAUAAUUAUUGGCAAUGGUGAAGGACAAAGCAUCAAGGGUGAUUUUGUACCAAGGAAUGAGUGAUGGUGGGGAACUUUUCAAGAUUUUAGUAAAUGUGCUUGCCAAUUCAUUUGCUUCAAGGCUAAGUAGGUGUGCUGCAUUAUUGGGGAAGAAAAUACAUACUACUGUUUGGCAUCAAAGGCUAGGACAUCCAUCUAAGGAGGUGUUGGCUGUAAUGUUAAAAGAUUUAAACAUCUCGGUUAAUAAAGAUUCCUGUCAGCUUGUUUGUUCUUGUAUUCAAGGGAAAAUGACUAGGCAAGUAAUUUCCUGUUAGACAAAAUAGAGCUAGUUAUAUGUUUGAAAAGAUACAUUAUAAUGUAUGGGGACCAACUCCAAAACAAUCUGUAGAAGGAUAUAGAUAUUACAUAAGCUUUGUAGAUGAACUCUCAAGAUUCGUGUGGAUAUUUCUAAUGGUUAAUAAAUUCUUUGUGAGA